UAAAAAGUGCAUUCAUAAAUUUUAAACGAGUUUAAGUGGACCCACACACUAACUUUAGCAAUCCUCACGAGUCACGAGCUUAUUAAUUCGGACCUGCUAGCGUCCGAACGUCCGAUGGGAAAUUUCCCAUCGGAUGGUACAUCGCAUCAUGAAGAACCAGAAACUGCAACAUUAUAAAUUACCUUUUGCAACAACUAGAAAUAAUAAUAUCGGAUCUCAUGAGAUUCUAAGAAAACAAAUUCCCGCCGCAACAGAUGGAGAGUGUUUCGUGCAACAUAUUCAAAAUCCCCUUUUUUUCCUCUAGGAAAUAGAACCUCAUAACCUAGAUAUCGAGACAUCCGAGGACACCUCGUGCAACCUCAAAAAACGACUAAUGCAACAAAAAAACAUCACUUGUUGCAAUAUGAACAAGAAAAUUCUAUUGCAACAUCAAGGGGAAAAAAUCCGUUGCAACAUAUACAACAUAACUAUGCAACAUUUUCAAAUCGCUAUUGCAACAUCUUCAAAUCUCUAGUGCAACAUGGAGUCAGGCCACAUCAUCGUUGGCUUCUGCUACCACACCAUGUCGCCAUGUCCAGCAUGUAUUUGAAGUGGUUAUCUCAGGGAUGCUUGUGUUGUGGAGUCGCUGCCUCUCCGACGGCAUACGGCGCGGCUUCGGCUGUGAUUAAUCGGGUUGGGCGAUGUUGGGGAGGCGGAUAGGUGCUGCAAGGGAAGUAGCUGCGAGCACAGCUGGCAGUGACGGCGAGGUAGCGCGAUGCAAGGGAGGAAGCUGUGAGUGUUGUUGCGCGUUGAUGACGAGGAGGUAGUGCGAUGUGGGGGAGGCAGCUGCGAGUGCUGCUUCUAGAGGUGAUGAGGCAGUGCGGGGGUGGGAGCUGCAAGGGGCGAGCGCCGCCACCUGUAAGGCAGCUGCUAGCGCUGCCGCCGAUUGAAUGAGCGAGCUGCGAGCUACAACCUUGCCAGAAUCUAU
Molecule: long non-coding RNA, 967 nt
Filed under: Setaria italica (foxtail millet)
Lineage: Eukaryota; Viridiplantae; Streptophyta; Magnoliopsida; Poales; Poaceae
Description: long non-coding RNA (SITA_LNC002198)
Source: RNAcentral